AUUGAACGCUGGCGGCAUGCUUUACACAUGCAAGUCGAACGGCAGCGCGGGCUUCGGCCUGGCGGCGAGUGGCGAGCGGGUGAGUAAUACAUCGGAACGUGCCCAGUAGUGGGGGAUAGCUCGGCGAAAGCCGGAUUAAUACCGCAUACGACCUGAGGGUGAAAGCGGGGGAUCUUCGGACCUCGCGCUAUUGGAGCGGCCGAUGGCAGAUUAGCUAGUUGGUGGGGUAAAGGCCUACCAAGGCGACGAUCUGUAGCUGGUCUGAGAGGACGACCAGCCACACUGGGACUGAGGCACGGCCCAGACUCCUACGGGAGGCAGCAGUGGGGAAUUUUGGACAAUGGGCGAAAGCCUGAUCCAGCAAUGCCGCGUGUGUGAUGAAGGCCUUCGGGUUGUAAAGCACUUUUGGCGGGAACGAAAAGGACUGUGCCAAUACCACAGUUCGAUGACGGUACCCGCAGAAUAAGCACCGGCUAACUACGUG
RNAcentral lists this ribosomal RNA (484 nucleotides) under uncultured bacterium. Its description in RNAcentral is "partial 16S ribosomal RNA". It matches the Rfam family "Bacterial small subunit ribosomal RNA", at positions 29 to 507 of the family's 1533-position model. The record is from RNAcentral.